CCUCUACGUACGAAUCAAGCUGCGAACUUUCAAAGAGGCGAACGUGCGUUCCAUCAACGUCAGGUGUGAGUGAAAUUGCGGCCCUCCGUCUCCUAUUGCUGACGACCCUUCAGCUCUGCCAUCUCCCACCUCCCUCCCUCCUCAGUCAGUAACUCUUCUUGCCUGUGCACUCGAUGCCAGCCCCUGCACGCCAGCUGUUGCACUGUACUGCUGCACUUUUCAAGACUGGCUGUUGCUGUCCGUUUCCCAGUCCUGCUGUUUAGCCAAGUGGGAUUCUUCUUCAUGCCAGUUACGUGGGCGCAGAGGCUGGGCUCUUCCUCCAAGGUCAUGAGCAGUUCAAUACCUCAGUUCCUUGGACCUUCUCCUCAAAGGCUGUGGACCAGAGAUGGGGGUUGUAAAAGAAAGUU
Kogia breviceps (pygmy sperm whale) is the source of this 407-nucleotide non-coding RNA. Lineage: Eukaryota; Metazoa; Chordata; Mammalia; Artiodactyla; Physeteridae. The record is from RefSeq and is a predicted model, not a curated record.